UAGAAUGGACUUCUCAAACAAGU
Molecule: non-coding RNA, 23 nt
Filed under: Arabidopsis thaliana (thale cress)
Lineage: Eukaryota; Viridiplantae; Streptophyta; Magnoliopsida; Brassicales; Brassicaceae
Source: RNAcentral